UUCAAAUUGAUGAGGCUUUAUCACCACUUUCCGUUGUCCCACAAUUACAGUUGACUAAGUUCAAUUUAUCGGAACAAAAUUGCAUUUUGCCAUAUAUGAUACAUUUACAAUAAAUCAGUCAAGUGAGAGUUUGGCGAAAUGAAAGAAGAGAUUAAAUCAUCAAGACAAGUGAUAUACAUAAAUUUAUAAAUAAAAAAAAUGUCAGAUUAUAAUUUUUCAUAAACUAAAAAAUUACAAGAGACCUUCCAUUUCUCAUUCAGAGGUCAAUGUUGCGACAUGUCAAUUAGUACAUAAUAUAUGGGUCACAGAAGAUGGUUGUUUUUUGAUAAAUUAUUUAGCGAUGUGAAAGUUUAUGUAAUUUAGCAACAUAAUUUUCUGUUGAUUGCUAAAAAUUUUAAGCAUAUUAAUGUCAUAAUUAAGAAAGAUAAUUCGAAUAUGCCGGGUUGACCAUUGAUAAAGUGAUGUAUUGUGAAAGAAAGUUGUCUGGAACUUUAAAUUGAAAAAGCGCAAUACUCGUAUUU
This is a long non-coding RNA of Phlebotomus papatasi, 521 nucleotides long. RefSeq lists it as uncharacterized. The transcript has 2 exons. NCBI's taxonomy places the organism in Eukaryota, Metazoa, Arthropoda, Insecta, Diptera, Psychodidae. The record is from RefSeq and is a predicted model, not a curated record.